GACGAACGCUGGCGGCGUGCUUAACACAUGCAAGUCGAGCGGUAAGGCCCUUCGGGUACACGAGCGGCGAACGGGUGAGUAACACGUGGGUGACCUGCCCUUAGCUCUGGGAUAAGCCUGGGAAACUGGGUCUAAUACCGGAUAUGACCUCAUGACGCAUGUUGUGGGGUGGAAAGCCUUGUGCGGCUAGGGAUGGGCCCGCGGCCUAUCAGCUUGUUGGUGGGGUNAUGGCCACCAAGGCGACGACGGGUAGCCGGCCUGAGAGGGCGACCGGCCGACACUGGGACUGAGACACGGCCCAGACUCCUACGGGAGGCAGCAGUGGGGAAUCUUGCGCAAUGGGCGAAAGCCUAACGCAGCGACGCCGCGUGAGGGAUGACGCC
RNAcentral lists this ribosomal RNA (383 nucleotides) under uncultured bacterium. RNAcentral's name for it is "bacterial SSU rRNA". It matches the Rfam family "Bacterial small subunit ribosomal RNA", at positions 28 to 415 of the family's 1533-position model. The record is from RNAcentral.